Eleginops maclovinus (Patagonian blennie) is the source of this 1244-nucleotide long non-coding RNA. RefSeq lists it as uncharacterized. The transcript has 4 exons. NCBI's taxonomy places the organism in Eukaryota, Metazoa, Chordata, Actinopteri, Perciformes, Eleginopidae. The record is from RefSeq and is a predicted model, not a curated record.
UACUGCUCGGCACCCUGCCCGUCGUCCUCUUAGUCCACGGGUUGACUUUCGGCGGAGGAGCUUCCACAACUUUCGUCUUCACCGCCUCCACAGCCGAGUCAGCGGUGCUGCUUUGGUCAUUUUCUUUGUCGUUUUCUUUGCAUUUAUUGUGCGGGUCCGCCUCGGUGCUGCUGUGGUCAUCGUCUAGUUGCUUCUCCGUCUGCUUUUCUCCAUGCUGCUCCUCUUGAGCCCCUACCUCGGUCUUGUUUUGGUUCUUCUCCUCGGAGCUGGCCGCUGUCAAACCAGCCGAUCCGACCUGACUGCUCUCAACCUCUGUGGACAUCCUGCUAGUCUCCUAACAGUGCACAGUGUUAAAUCCAGUGUGAAGAUGUAGUCCUUGCUCUUUUAUCCCAGAGAAAAGCCGUGAGAAGGUCAGGGGGAGACCACAUCCACAACUUGGGCUCCACGCUCCCAGCAGAGUAGAGCUCGUGCAUCCAGCUGCUGUCCUGCCUGUAAACAGUGACUCUGCUGCCCCCCGCGGCCUCACGACGAUAAUGAAACACAGAGAUCAGAAACAUCGUCAGCGCCACAGAGAAAUGCUUCGGUGCAGACGACACCACUGAAGGUCUGGUGUAGAUGUAGGGAUGCUCCUCGAGAAAAGAAAUAAUCACAGAUGUCUUUCAUGCCGAUCAGCAUCGUCACCAGCUUCCAGUCCUCUUCAAAGUUCAGACCCUGAAGAAUGGAGAGUUGAUCUUAAACGUCACAUAAAUAAAGUUUAAGUAAAGAUUAUUAAUCAUCUGAUAAGCAGAGUUAUGGACGCUGUGAUUUACGGGAUAAGACUUGAACGUGUCGAUCAUAUGUCUUAUCUGAUCAGAGACGUUUCUGGAGAAGAACAAACACAGCGAUGAAUCACAACACCAAUAAAACAUUAUCAAAUCAUUUACAACUUAAUAUUAUGAGCUUUGAACUGAAUUAAACAUCAUGAGGGCACUCAGCUCUCCUUACUGAACUUACCUGUGAUUGCAUGAAUAUGUGUUGUUUUAAAUACCUUGAAACAAUGAACUUAAUUAUAAGUCUGGUGAGUGUUUUCUAAAGUUACUACACUGUAAUCUUCAUUUGCUCUUAUAGUUUCUAUUUUCACUUCUUUUCUUAACUAAGUUUUAUUUUUUUGCUACCUCUGUGUAUCUGAACUCAUUUCUGGCAUUGCGGCAACAUCUGAAUUUCCUGUUUUAAGAUAAAUAAAGGCUUGUCUUUGUGUUCAUAGA